Molecule: long non-coding RNA, 646 nt
Filed under: Homo sapiens (human)
Lineage: Eukaryota; Metazoa; Chordata; Mammalia; Primates; Hominidae
Description: non-protein coding lnc-FZD4-10:1
Source: RNAcentral
AGAUGGAGGAACUUAGUUACAGCUUCUCGCUGACUACAUUGGGCCUGUCUAGUAAAUUUGUCCAUAUUGAAUAGGCUUUGGCUGCUCUAGCUGGAAAAGCCCUUUCAGUGGGAGUUAAAGCAGCAAAUGGCAUGGUAUUAGCAACUGAGAAGAGCAGAAAUCUAUUCUAUAUGAUGAGCAAAGUGUACACAGAGUGGAACCAAUUACCAAACAUACAGGUUUGGUGUAUAGUGGCAUGGGUGCAGAUUACAGAAUGCUUGUGCAUGGAGUUCAAAAGCUAGCUGAGCAAUACUAUCCUGUUUACCAAGAACCCAUUCCCACAACUCAGCUGGUAGAGAAAUUAGCUUCUGAGAUGCAAGAAUACACCGAGUCUGGUGGUAUUUGUCCAUUUGGAGUCUUUCUACCUAUUUGUGGUUGUGGGGGACAGACAUAUUUACUCAGGCAGAUCCAUCUGGAGCUUUCUUUGAAUGCCACAGCAAUGGGAAAGAACUGUGUGACUGGGAAAACUUUCUUUGAGAGAAGAAACAAUGAAGAUCUGAAAUUUAAAAUGCCAUUCAUAUAGCCAUCUUAACCCUAAAGGAAAGUGUUAAAAGGCAAAUGACAGAAGAUAACAUAGAAGUUGGAAUCUGCAAUGAAGCUGUAUUUA